Molecule: ribosomal RNA, 267 nt
Filed under: uncultured bacterium
Lineage: Bacteria
Description: partial 16S ribosomal RNA
Rfam family: Bacterial small subunit ribosomal RNA
Source: RNAcentral
AGUGGCGAACGGGUGAGUAACACGUGGGGCAACCUGCCCAAAAGAGGGGGAUAACACUUGGAAACAGGUGCUAAUACCGCAUAACCAUAGUUACCGCAUGGUAACUAUGUAAAAGGUGGCUAUACUACCGCUUUUGGAUGGGCCCGCGGCGCAUUAGCUAGUUGGUAGGGUAAAGGCUUACCAAGGCAAUGAUGCGUAGCCGAAUUGAGAGGUUGAUCGGCCACAUUGGGACUGAGACACGGCCCAAACUCCUACGGGAGGCAGCAG